UCGCCUGUUUUAUCAAAAACAUCGCCUCUUGCUAAAACAAAAAUAUAAGAGGUCCCGCCUGCCCUGUGACUAUAUGUUUAACGGCCGCGGUAUUUUGACCGUGCGAAGGUAGCGCAAUCACUUGUCUCUUAAAUGGGGACCUGUAUGAAUGGCAUAACGAGGGCUUGACUGUCUCCUCUUUCAAGUCAAUGAAAUUGAUCUUCCCGUGCAGAAGCGGGAAUAAGCACAUAAGACGAGAAGACCCUAUGGAGCUUUAGACACGAAAGCAGAUCAGCAUUAAUACCCCCAACACGGGGCACGAAUAAACUGAACCCUGCUCUAAUGUCUUAGGUUGGGGCGACCGCGGAGAAAUAAAAAACCCCCGCAAGGACCGAAUGUACUACAUUCACAACCAAGAGUGACAGCUCUAAUUAACAGAUACUUCUGACCAAUAAGAUCCGGCAACGCCGAUCAAUGGACCAAGUUACCCUAGGGAUAACAGCGCAAUCUCCUCUUAGAGCCCGUAUCAACGAGGAGGUUUACGACCUCGAUGUUGGAUCAGGACAUCCUAAUGGUGCAGCCGCUAUUAAGGGUUCGUUUGUUCAACGAUUAAAGUCCUACGUGAUCUGAGUUCAGACCGG
RNAcentral lists this ribosomal RNA (620 nucleotides) under Epinephelus chlorostigma (brownspotted grouper). RNAcentral describes it as "partial 16S ribosomal RNA". It matches the Rfam family "Bacterial large subunit ribosomal RNA", at positions 1796 to 2619 of the family's 2925-position model. Lineage: Eukaryota; Metazoa; Chordata; Actinopteri; Perciformes; Serranidae. The record is from RNAcentral.